AACUUUUAACAACGGAUCUCUUGGUUCUGGCAUCGAUGAAGAACGCAGCGAAAUGCGAUAAGUAAUGUGAAUUGCAGAAUUCAGUGAAUCAUCGAAUCUUUGAACGCACAUUGCGCCCCCUGGUAUUCCGGGGGGCAUGCCUGUUCGAGCGUC
Molecule: ribosomal RNA, 153 nt
Filed under: Cladosporium sp.
Lineage: Eukaryota; Fungi; Ascomycota; Dothideomycetes; Cladosporiales; Cladosporiaceae
Also listed under: 1 other name
Description: 5.8S ribosomal RNA
Rfam family: 5.8S ribosomal RNA
About the family: 5.8S ribosomal RNA (5.8S rRNA) is a component of the large subunit of the eukaryotic ribosome. It is transcribed by RNA polymerase I as part of the 45S precursor that also contains 18S and 28S rRNA.
Source: RNAcentral